UUGCAAGACCAUGCUCCUUUCCUCACAAGCUAAAGAGGAAAAGGUAUGCAAUGGCUGCAAAUGGCAGCCUGCUUGGCAGUGUAUACAGCCUGUUGCUUGUAUAGGUUGCUCUAAGGGACCUUGGAGACAUUC
This is a small nucleolar RNA of Otolemur garnettii (small-eared galago), 132 nucleotides long. Its record names the gene SNORA70. It matches the Rfam family "Small nucleolar RNA SNORA70". From Rfam's summary of the family: snoRNA U70 seems to be exclusive to mammals and is a member of the H/ACA class of snoRNA which contain H (ANANNA) and ACA box motifs. H/ACA box snoRNAs are involved in the conversion of uridines to pseudouridines (5-ribosyluracil) a constituent of structural RNAs (transfer, ribosomal, small nuclear, and small nucleolar). The record is from Ensembl. NCBI's taxonomy places the organism in Eukaryota, Metazoa, Chordata, Mammalia, Primates, Galagidae.